AGAGUUUGAUCCUGGCUUAGGAUGAACGCUAGCUACAGGCUUAACACAUGCAAGUCGAGGGGCAGCAGGACGAUAGCUUGCUAUUGUUGCUGGCGACCGGCGCACGGGUGAGUAACGCGUAUCCAACCUUCCCUUAGUAGGGCAUAGCCCGGUGAAAAUCGGAUUAAUACCCUAUGUUGUGUCAUGAGGACAUCUGAAUAACACUAAAGAUUUAUCGCUAAGGGAUGGGGAUGCGUCCGAUUAGGUAGUCGGCGGGGUAACGGCCCACCGAGCCCUCGAUCGGUAGGGGUUCUGAGAGGAAGGUCCCCCACACUGGUACUGAGACACGGACCAGACUCCUACGGGAGGCAGCAGUGAGGAAUAUUGGUCAAUGGGCGUAAGCCUGAACCAGCCAAAGUAGCGUGCAGGAUGACGGCCCUAUGGGUUGUAAACUGCUUUUAUACGGGGAUAAAGUGAGGGACGUGUCCCUUAUUGUAGGUACCGUAUGAAUAAGGACCGGCUAAUUCCGUGCCAGCCGCCGC
RNAcentral lists this ribosomal RNA (521 nucleotides) under uncultured bacterium. Its description in RNAcentral is "bacterial SSU rRNA". It matches the Rfam family "Bacterial small subunit ribosomal RNA", at positions 8 to 518 of the family's 1533-position model. The record is from RNAcentral.